UGAGCAAUGACUAUUCUGGUUUUCUAAACCUCAGGGUGGUUCAGUGAACAGGACCGGAAAGUUCUUGGAAAGCCCAUGCGUGAUCAGGACUUGCAACACCCUGAUUGCUCCUAAUCUGAU
Molecule: small nucleolar RNA, 120 nt
Filed under: Myotis lucifugus (little brown bat)
Lineage: Eukaryota; Metazoa; Chordata; Mammalia; Chiroptera; Vespertilionidae
Description: U8 small nucleolar RNA (ENSMLUG00000026104.1)
Source: RNAcentral